This 740-nucleotide ribosomal RNA is filed under the name uncultured bacterium. RNAcentral's name for it is "bacterial SSU rRNA". It matches the Rfam family "Bacterial small subunit ribosomal RNA", at positions 8 to 796 of the family's 1533-position model. The record is from RNAcentral.
AGAGUUUGAUCAUGGCUCAGAACGAACGCUGGCGGCAGGCUUAACACAUGCAAGUCGAACGCCCCGCAAGGGGAGUGGCAGACGGGUGAGUAACGCGUGGGAACGUACCUUUCGGUUCGGAAUAACCCAGGGAAACUUGGGCUAAUACCGGAUACGCCGGAAACGGGAAAGAUUUAUCGCCGAAAGAUCGGCCCGCGUCGGAUUAGCUAGUUGGUGGGGUAAUGGCCUACCAAGGCGACGAUCCGUAGCUGGUCUGAGAGGAUGAUCAGCCACACUGGGACUGAGACACGGCCCAGACUCCUACGGGAGGCAGCAGUGGGGAAUAUUGGACAAUGGGCGAAAGCCUGAUCCAGCCAUGCCGCGUGAGUGAAGAAGGCCUUAGGGUUGUAAAGCUCUUUCAGCGGGGACGAUAAUGACGGUACCCGCAGAAGAAGCCCCGGCUAACUUCGUGCCAGCAGCCGCGGUAAUACGAAGGGGGCUAGCGUUGUUCGGAUUUACUGGGCGUAAAGCGCGCGUAGGCGGACAUCUAAGUCAGGGGUGAAAUCCCAGGGCUCAACCCUGGAACUGCCUUUGAUACUGAAUGUCUGGAGUUCGGGAGAGGUGAGUGGAAUUCCGAGUGUAGAGGUGAAAUUCGUAGAUAUUCGGAGGAACACCAGAAGCGAAGGCGGCUCACUGGCCCGAUACUGACGCUGAGGCGCGAAAGCGUGGGGAGCAAACAGGAUUAGAUACCCUAGUAGUCC